This is a non-coding RNA of Parelaphostrongylus tenuis, 76 nucleotides long. Lineage: Eukaryota; Metazoa; Nematoda; Chromadorea; Rhabditida; Metastrongylidae. The record is from the annotation of a GenBank genome assembly.
ACCUCUAUGGUGUAGUGGUAGUAGCACAAGCGUCCUCGGUAUGGAUGGAACGCGGGUUCGAUUCCCGCUUGAGGCA